Molecule: ribosomal RNA, 459 nt
Filed under: Burkholderia cepacia
Lineage: Bacteria; Pseudomonadati; Pseudomonadota; Betaproteobacteria; Burkholderiales; Burkholderiaceae
Also listed under: 1 other name
Description: bacterial SSU rRNA
Rfam family: Bacterial small subunit ribosomal RNA
Source: RNAcentral
UUAAACUGAAGAGUUUGAUCCUGGCUCAGAUUGAACGCUGGCGGCAUGCCUUACACAUGCAAGUCGAACGGCAGCACGGGUGCUUGCACCUGGUGGCGAGUGGCGAACGGGUGAGUAAUACAUCGGAACAUGUCCUGUAGUGGGGGAUAGCCCGGCGAAAGCCGGAUUAAUACCGCAUACGAUCUACGGAUGAAAGCGGGGGACCUUCGGGCCUCGCGCUAUAGGGUUGGCCGAUGGCUGAUUAGCUAGUUGGUGGGGUAAAGGCCUACCAAGGCGACGAUCAGUAGCUGGUCUGAGAGGACGACCAGCCACACUGGGACUGAGACACGGCCCAGACUCCUACGGGAGGCAGCAGUGGGGAAUUUUGGACAAUGGGCGAAAGCCUGAUCCAGCAAUGCCGCGUGUGUGAAGAAGGCCUUCGGGUUGUAAAGCACUUUUGUCCGGAAAGAAAUCCUUGGC